UCUAGUUUUUUUUAAUAGACAGAUUACUUUUCAUCUGACCUUGCUUCGGGGCUAAGCUUUGGAUACACGAGCCUAAUUUUUUUUAUUCCAUCAUGUCGUUUUCUUGAUGUUUCAGCGUCGAUUCUUGGUGGGUUACGCUCAUUUUUGGGUGUAGUGAUUGAACUACUUAAGAUGUCAUAUGAUAAUUACAAUAAUGAUAGCAAUGAUCAUUAUGACGAAAGCGAGGUUAAAUAUGAACUCGAUCAAUUAAUAAAAUUGGGAUGUGGUCCUAUAGUGCUGCAGUACAUCAUUUUGUGAUUCAUGUUUGCAAAGAGCCUUGGUGCUGCUCAUGAUACUCGAAUUUUUGUGGAGGCAUUAAGAAGACCACGUUUAGGGUUUCAAUAUCCACCAAAAAGAUUCUGGUUAUCCACAAACGAAAGGAUAUUUAGGUCCUUAUAAAGGCAAAUGAUACCAUCUUGUUGAUUUUUUAUGUGGAAGCUAACCAAGAGGCAUGAAAGAGGUAUUCAAUCAUAGACAUUCUUCACUAAGAUGCACAAUUGAAAUAACAUUUGAUGUUUGGAAGAAUAGAUGAAGAAUUGUUUGGCAAAUGCAUAGUUUUCCAUUUGACAAACAAGUAAAAAUUUAACUUUAUAAGGGUUCAUUCAAAAAUAGAUUUUGAAUUCAAGCCUUAUGACGACAACGAGAUGCUACUAUCUUCAAAUGAUGAAAUAAAUUAUGAGGAUGUCAAUGAAAAACAUAAAGGUUUAGUUCAUGAAAUAGAGAUGAAUGAAGAACGUGAUCAAAUUGUGCAACUUCUCAUGUUUAGUUGAUAUUAUAUUAUUUAUGAAAAUUUAUUAUUAUUAUAUUUUGUUGUUGGAGAUCAAUUAUACUUUUUAUGAUUAUGAAUUUAAAUAUCAAGAUA
This is a long non-coding RNA of Cucumis melo (muskmelon), 901 nucleotides long. RefSeq lists it as uncharacterized. NCBI's taxonomy places the organism in Eukaryota, Viridiplantae, Streptophyta, Magnoliopsida, Cucurbitales, Cucurbitaceae. The record is from RefSeq and is a predicted model, not a curated record. The transcript has 4 exons.